GGCCGAUAUAUAUGUCUUUUUAUAUCACAAUGCUGGUAAUCCUCUCUUUCUUGGGGACAAAGCCAGUCUGAGACAAGGGAACAGUCACCCCUGCCCUCCUUGAAGAGAAACUGGAGCAUGUGGGAGUGUGAAUGGGAAUGGGGGACACUGGCUGGGCCCCUGCCGCACCCCAGUGGUGGCACUGGUCUGGUCCAGGCCUUGAGGCUUUCUAGCAGAUGCUCCUGCAAUCUGAGCUUCCUGUUUCUCUGCAGAAAAUGCGGCAGUCACCCCCACCUCCACCCCACACACAGCUGGGCUGCUGUGUGGCUCAAAUGAGACUCUGCAUUUGGGGCCCUUUGUAAACUGUAAAAUCCUGCACACCCCUAAGGUGUGGUAGAAGAUGGGGGCUGGGAUGGGAGAGGGUCUCUAAUGGGCUUGCAGACCCUCUCUGCCAUCGGAGUCUCUUGGGAGGGGGGCACCCUACUGAGGCUGCUUGCAGGUGCAGGGACAGGGAAGGGACUGCAACACCUCCUGGGGUGUCUGCCUUCCUACCUCCCUGGAGCCAGGUGCCUCAGCCCAGAGCCAUCAUGCCACCAAAUUUGCUCAGUCCCUUUCUCCCCUAGAGAGAACACCCUCAUUCUCAGGACAAAUGUACCAGCGUCCAGGAAGGAAGAGGAGCCAGCCUUUGGGUUCCCAACACCAAUGUCAAUGGCUUGGAUCUCCUCCAGCCCCACAUCUGGUGGGGGUGGGCAGAGGAAGCAGGAAAAGCAGGUGUGUGAUGGGAGAUGGGGUAACCACCCUGUGUUGCUUAGAUCACACAAGCAUCAGUGAAGGACCCCAUGGGCAGGCACUGUUAGAAACUAUGGGGUACAGACAGGACACCUACCCUGGCUUCAUCACAGAUCACCUCAUAUUGUGCCCAUUAUACAGGUGAGGAAACUGAGGUACAGUGAGAUGAAUGCAGUGACUUGCCUGCCAUUCCAGAGCUAGUAAAGGAACAGCUCUGGCCAGGCAUGGUGGCUCACGCCUGUAAUCCCAGCAUCUUGGGAGGCCAAGGGGAGGCGGAUCACCUGAGGUCAGGAGUUCAAGACCAGCCUGGCCAACAUGGUGAAACCCCAUCUCUACUAAAAAUACAAAACUUAGCUGGGCAUGGUGGCAGGCGCCUGUAAUGCCAGCUUGGGAGGCUGAGGCAGGAGAAUCACCUGAACCCAAGAGGCAGAGGUUGCAGUGAGUGGAGAUGGUGCCACUGCACUCCAGCCUGGGCGAAAGAGCAAGACUCCAUCUAAAAAGAAAAGAAAAGGAAAAAGAAAAUAAGAAAAAAGAAACAAAAGGGAAAAGGGGGUCUUACUCUGUUGCCCAGGCUAGAGUGCAGUAGUGCAAUCAUAGCUCACUGCAA
RNAcentral lists this long non-coding RNA (1375 nucleotides) under Homo sapiens (human). RNAcentral describes it as "HSALNT0176483". The record is from RNAcentral. Lineage: Eukaryota; Metazoa; Chordata; Mammalia; Primates; Hominidae.